This 939-nucleotide ribosomal RNA is filed under the name uncultured bacterium. Its description in RNAcentral is "bacterial SSU rRNA". It matches the Rfam family "Bacterial small subunit ribosomal RNA", at positions 28 to 967 of the family's 1533-position model. The record is from RNAcentral.
AUUGAACGCUGGCGGCAUGCCUUACACAUGNAGACGAACGGUAGAGUAGCAAUACUCGAGAGUGGCGAACGGGUGAGUAAUAUAUCGGAACGUGCCCAGUCGUGGGGGAUAACGUAGAGAAAUUUACGCUAAUACCGCAUACGAUCUAAGGAUGAAAGCGGGGGAUUCGCAAGAACCUCGCGCGAUUGGAGCGGCUGAUAUCAGAUUAGGUUGUUGGUGAGGUAAAAGCUCACCAAGCCGACGAUCUGUAGCUGGUUUGAGAGAACGACCAGCCACACUGGGACUGAGACACGGCCCAGACUCCUACGGGAGGCAGCAGUGGGGAAUUUUGGACAAUGGGCGAAAGCCUGAUCCAGCAAUGCCGCGUGCAGGAAGAAGGCCUUCGGGUUGUAAACUGCUUUUGUACGGAACGAAAAGGCUCUUUCUAAUAAAGAGGGCCCAUGACGGUACCGUAAGAAUAAGCACCGGCUAACUACGUGCCAGCAGCCGCGGUAAUACGUAGGGUGCGAGCGUUAAUCGGAAUUACUGGGCGUAAAGCGUGCGCAGGCGGUUCUAUAAGACAGAUGUGAAAUCCCCGGGCUCAACCUGGGAAUGGCAUUUGUGACUGUAGAGCUAGAGUACGGUAGAGGGGGAUGGAAUUCCGCGUGUAGCAGUGAAAUGCGUAGAUAUGCGGAGGAACACCGAUGGCGAAGGCAAUCCCCUGGACCUGUACUGACGCUCAUGCACGAAAGCGUGGGGAGCAAACAGGAUUAGAUACCCUGGUAGUCCACGCCCUAAACGAUGUCAACUGGUUGUUGGGUGCAUUAGUACUCAGUAACGAAGCUAACGCGUGAAGUUGACCGCCUGGGGAGUACGGCCGCAAGGUUGAACUCAAAGGAAUUGACGGGGACCCGCACAAGCGGUGGAUGAUGUGGUUUAAAUUCGAUGCAACCGCGAAAA